AGUGAACGCUGGCGGUAGGCCUAACACAUGCAAGUCGAACGGCAGCACAGUAAGAGCUUGCUCUUACGGGUGGCGAGUGGCGGACGGGUGAGGAAUACAUCGGAAUCUACUUUUUCGUGGGGGAUAACGUAGGGAAACUUACGCUAAUACCGCAUACGACCUACGGGUGAAAGCAGGGGAUCUUCGGACCUUGCGCGAUUGAAUGAGCCGAUGUCGGAUUAGCUAGUUGGCGGGGUAAAGGCCCGCCAAGGCGACGAUCCGUAGCUGGUCUGAGAGGAUGAUCAGCCACACUGGAACUGAGACACGGUCCAGACUCCUACGGGAGGCAGCAGUGGGGAAUAUUGGACAAUGGGCGCAAGCCUGAUCCAGCCAUACCGCGUGGGUGAAGAAGGCCUUCGGGUUGUAAAGCCCUUUUGUUGGGAAAGAAAAGCAGCAGGUUAAUACCCCGCUGUUCUGACGGUACCCAAAGAAUAAGCAUCGGCUAACUUCGUG
Molecule: ribosomal RNA, 492 nt
Filed under: uncultured bacterium
Lineage: Bacteria
Description: partial 16S ribosomal RNA
Rfam family: Bacterial small subunit ribosomal RNA
Source: RNAcentral